Molecule: ribosomal RNA, 250 nt
Filed under: uncultured bacterium
Lineage: Bacteria
Description: partial 16S ribosomal RNA
Rfam family: Bacterial small subunit ribosomal RNA
Source: RNAcentral
UACGUAGGGGGCGAGCGUUGUCCGGAGUUACUGGGCGUAAAGGGCGCGUAGGCGGACGCUUAAGUCGUCAGUGAAAGCCCCCGGCUCAACCGGGGAGGGUCUGGCGAGACUGGGCGUCUGGAGGACGGAAGAGGAGAGUGGAAUUGCUGGUGGAGCGGUGGAAUGCGUAGAGAUCAGCAGGAACACCCGUGGCGAAGGCGGCUCUCUGGUCCUGUCCUGACGCUGAGGCGCGAAAGCUGGGGGAGCGAAC